GGCAGUUUGGCCGAGUGGUUAAGGUUAGACCGCCCAUAACGAAAGUGUCGUGGGUUCGAACCCCACAGCUGCCA
This 74-nucleotide transfer RNA is filed under the name Penicillium chrysogenum. RNAcentral's name for it is "tRNA-Met (CAT) (tRNA-Met-CAT-5-1)". It matches the Rfam family "tRNA". Rfam says of the family: Transfer RNA (tRNA) molecules are approximately 80 nucleotides in length. Their secondary structure includes four short double-helical elements and three loops (D, anti-codon, and T loops). RNAcentral also lists the same sequence under 4 other names. The record is from RNAcentral. Lineage: Eukaryota; Fungi; Ascomycota; Eurotiomycetes; Eurotiales; Aspergillaceae.